AGAUGUGAGGGCGAUCUGGCUGCGACAUCUGUCACCCCAUUGAUCGCCAGGGUUGAUUCGGCUGAUCUGGCUGGCUAGGCCGGUGUACCCUUCCUCCCUCACCGCUCCAUGUGCGUCCCUCCCGAAGCUGCGCGCUCGGUCGAAGAGGAUGACCAUCCCCGAUAGAGGAGGACCGGUCUUCAGUCAAGGGUAUACGAGUAGCUGCGCUCCCCUGCUAGAACCUCCAAACAAGCUCUCAAGUAUGACAGAUCGUGUUUCCAAAGACUGACAGUAGAGGAAUAACAUCAUUUUCCCUACAGUUUCAGA
Molecule: unclassified non-coding RNA, 306 nt
Organism: Dipodomys ordii (Ord's kangaroo rat)
Lineage: Eukaryota; Metazoa; Chordata; Mammalia; Rodentia; Heteromyidae
Gene: 7SK
Rfam family: 7SK RNA
About the family: 7SK was discovered as an abundant small nuclear RNA in the mid-70s but a possible function has only recently been suggested. Two independent studies have found that 7SK RNA binds the CDK9/cyclin T complex (known as elongation factor P-TEFb). P-TEFb activates transcription by phosphorylating the C-terminal domain of RNA polymerase II.
Source: Ensembl